UAUGGUGAUUAUUGCGGUGGGGUCCACCUCUUCCCAUUCCGAACAGAGAAGUUAAGCCCACCAGCGCCGAUGGUACUGCAGUAAAAUGUGGAAGAGUAGGUCGUUGCCAGAU
RNAcentral lists this ribosomal RNA (112 nucleotides) under Cyclobacteriaceae bacterium. The record is from RNAcentral. Lineage: Bacteria; Pseudomonadati; Bacteroidota; Cytophagia; Cytophagales; Cyclobacteriaceae.